AAACUUUCAGCGAAUGGAUGUCU
Molecule: ribosomal RNA, 23 nt
Filed under: Eimeria illinoisensis
Lineage: Eukaryota; Apicomplexa; Conoidasida; Eucoccidiorida; Eimeriidae
Description: partial 5.8S ribosomal RNA
Source: RNAcentral